AUUGCUUCUCAGCCUUUUGGCUAAGAUCAAGUGUAGUAUCUGUUUGUAUCAGUUUAAUAUCUGAUAUGUCCUCAAUUAGAGAACUUUAUAUUAAAUGGAAUUUUGGCACUGGGAGUUGGAUCUGGAGCUUCCUUUUUUUUUUUUUUUUAAUUUAAGCCAUUAUCCAUCAUAUUUGAAAAAUCAUG
Pezoporus flaviventris is the source of this 185-nucleotide small nuclear RNA. RefSeq annotates it as U2 spliceosomal RNA. The transcript has a single exon. NCBI's taxonomy places the organism in Eukaryota, Metazoa, Chordata, Aves, Psittaciformes, Psittacidae. The record is from RefSeq and is a predicted model, not a curated record.